AGAUUGAACGCUAGCGGGAUGCUUUACACAUGCAAGUCGAACGGCAGCGCGGACUUCGGUCUGGCGGCGAGUGGCGAACGGGUGAGUAAUAUAUCGGAACGUGCCCAGUAGCGGGGGAUAACUACGCGAAAGCGUGGCUAAUACCGCAUACGCCCUACGGGGGAAAGGGGGGGAUUCUUCGGAACCUCUCACUAUUGGAGCGGCCGAUAUCAGAUUAGCUAGUUGGUGAGGUAAAGGCUCACCAAGGCGACGAUCUGUAGCUGGUUUGAGAGGACGACCAGCCACACUGGGACUGAGACACGGCCCAGACUCCUACGGGAGCAGCAGUGGGGAAUUUGGACAAGUGGGGAAACCUGAUCCAGCCAUCCCGCGUGUGCGAUGAAGGCCUUCGGGUUGU
RNAcentral lists this ribosomal RNA (397 nucleotides) under uncultured soil bacterium. RNAcentral's name for it is "bacterial SSU rRNA". It matches the Rfam family "Bacterial small subunit ribosomal RNA", at positions 26 to 426 of the family's 1533-position model. The record is from RNAcentral.